RNAcentral lists this ribosomal RNA (253 nucleotides) under uncultured bacterium. RNAcentral describes it as "partial 16S ribosomal RNA". It matches the Rfam family "Bacterial small subunit ribosomal RNA", at positions 524 to 776 of the family's 1533-position model. The record is from RNAcentral.
UACGUAGGGUGCGAGCGUUAAUCGGAAUUACUGGGCGUAAAGCGCGCGUAGGCGGCUACUUAAGUCGGAUGUGAAAGCCCUUGGCUCAACUGAGGAAGUGCACCCGAAACUGAGUGGCUUGAGUACUAAAGAGGGUCGCGGAAUUCCCGGUGUAGAGGUGAAAUUCGUAGAUAUCAAGAGGAACACCUGAGGUGAAGACGGGUUGCUGGGCUGACACUGACGCUGAGGCGCGAAAGCUAGGGUAGCAAACGGG